UAUGUGAUGUGCUGGUUUCUGGUCUUUGGCUUCUGCUACUAGAGUUGAUGAUUGUUGACAUGUCUCGUUUCAAACUCAAACAAUUUCUUCAUUAUUUUCCAUAGCCAAGAAGCCCUUAGGUAUAUGUUAUUGCAUGAAAAUUCCAACAAAGAAUUCCCCUUAUAAGCAAAUACAAAAUAAAAAAUGUGAGAGAAGCACGAAUCUGUACCUUGCUAUGAGUGGAGCCUUUAAAAUUAAUAACAAGUGAAAAUAUUCACAUUAAGGAUCGAAAAAAGAAGAGGUCUUUAUAUCUCUAUACUAGCUCUCCAAACUCAUGCGUAUCAGCAAGUCUUACUAUGUUCUCAUCUCUCCUUUUGAUCUUCUAUUUGGAGCUGAAAGUACCAAAAAAUGUUGCAAAGCUUCAAGAGUGGAUUUUCUUGGAGAAAUAUGGCUACCUCUAUGGUGACGGUUAUUCCUAUCCUUACAAAUAGUUAACUUCUAUAAUGAGCUUAAUUGAUUGGUUAUUGUCUUUGUUAUACAUCUUGCAUUACUCAUAAAACUACGCAUGCAUUUCUGGUGCCUUGAUCUAUUUCUAGCGGUUAAUGUAUUUGAUUUUGACUGCGUUUGCAAUGUUGCCUUCUGAUGUCAAAGCUUUAUGAUUCCAUCACUUAAAGUCUUAGACUUCCAUUCAAAUCCAUUUCCUCUGAAGUCACAGCUUUGUAAUUUACUGGAAAACUAAAGUGAUUGGCAGAUAGAGAAUUGCGACUGCAUUGCUAUAAGGUGAUUAUUCCCUUUCCCUUCCUCUUGUGCCUCACGAUUCUGCCACGGGGACCUGGGCCUGAAGAUUAUACUAAUGCAAUCUCUAUUAUUUAUGAAUUCCUAUCUUCCUGGAAUAAAAUUCAUUUUAUAACUCUCUUUUAUAGAAAGAUCAGCUGGACAAUGCACAACAACAUUAAGC
Molecule: long non-coding RNA, 937 nt
Filed under: Capsicum annuum
Lineage: Eukaryota; Viridiplantae; Streptophyta; Magnoliopsida; Solanales; Solanaceae
Description: long non-coding RNA (CANN_LNC015345)
Source: RNAcentral